UUUUAUGGAGAGUUUGAUCCUGGCUCAGGAUGAACGCUGGCGGCGUGCCUAAUACAUGCAAGUCGAGCGAACGGACGAGAAGCUUGCUUCUCUGAUGUUAGCGGCGGACGGGUGAGUAACACGUGGAUAACCUACCUAUAAGACUGGGAUAACUUCGGGAAACCGGAGCUAAUACCGGAUAAUAUUUUGAACCGCAUGGUUCAAAAGUAAAAGACGGUCUUGCUGUCACUUAUAGAUGGAUCCGCGCUGCAUUAGCUAGUUGGUAAGGUAACGGCUUACCAAGGCAACGAUGCAUAGCCGACCUGAGAGGGUGAUCGGCCACACUGGAACUGAGACACGGUCCAGACUCCUACGGGAGGCAGCAGUAGGGAAUCUUCCGCAAUGGGCGAAAGCCUGACGGAGCAACGCCGCGUGAGUGAUGAAGGUCUUCGGAU
This 434-nucleotide ribosomal RNA is filed under the name Staphylococcus aureus. Its description in RNAcentral is "bacterial SSU rRNA". It matches the Rfam family "Bacterial small subunit ribosomal RNA", at positions 1 to 423 of the family's 1533-position model. Lineage: Bacteria; Bacillati; Bacillota; Bacilli; Caryophanales; Staphylococcaceae. The record is from RNAcentral.